UACGGGGGGGGUAAGCGUUGUUCGGAAUUACUGGGCGUAAAGGGCUCGUAGGCGGCCAACUAAGUCAGACGUGAAAUCCCUCAGCUUAACUGGGGAACUGCGUCUGAUACUGGAUGGCUUGGAUUCGGGAGAGGAAUGCGGAAUUCCAGGUGUAGCAGUGAAAUGCGUAGAUAUCAAGCGGAACACCAGUGGCGAAGGCGAGUCCCUGGACAACUCCUGACACUGAGGCACGAAAGCUAGGGGAGCAAACAGG
This 253-nucleotide ribosomal RNA is filed under the name uncultured bacterium. RNAcentral's name for it is "partial 16S ribosomal RNA". It matches the Rfam family "Bacterial small subunit ribosomal RNA", at positions 524 to 776 of the family's 1533-position model. The record is from RNAcentral.